Molecule: ribosomal RNA, 440 nt
Filed under: uncultured bacterium
Lineage: Bacteria
Description: partial 16S ribosomal RNA
Rfam family: Bacterial small subunit ribosomal RNA
Source: RNAcentral
GACGAACGCUGGCGGCGUGCCUAAUGCAUGCAAGUCGCACGCGGCACCUUCGGGUGCUGAGUGGCGAACGGCUGAGGAACCCGUGGGGACCUGUCCGGGAGUGGGGGACAACACCGCGAAAGCGGUGCUAAUCCCGCAUACGCUCUGAGGAGGAAAGCCGCAAGGCGCUCCCGGUUGGCCCGGCGGCCCAUCAGGUUGUUGGUGGGGUAACGGCCUACCAAGCUAAUGACGGGUCGCUGGUCUGUGGGGACGACCAGCCAGACUGGGGCUGGGACACGGCCCGGACUCCUACGGGAGGGGGCGGAAAGGAAUUUUCGGCAAUGGGCGCGAGCCUGACCGAGCAACGCCGCGUGCAGGAAGACGGCCGUCGGGUUGUAAACUGCUUUUGCUAGGGAGGUUAACAGACAGUACCUGGCGAAUCAGCCCCGGCUAACUCUGUG